CCUACGGGAGGCAGCAGUGAGGAAUAUUGGUCAAUGGGCGCGAGCCUGAACCAGCCAAGUCGCGUGAGGGAAGACGGUCCUAUGGAUUGUAAACCUCUUUUGUCGGGGAGCAAAAGACGCCACGCGUGGCGUUCCGAGAGUACCCGAAGAAAAAGCAUCGGCUAACUCCGUGCCAGCAGCCGCGGUAAUACGGGGGAUGCGAGCGUUGUCCGGAUGUAUUGGGUUGAAAGGGUGGUCAGGGGGAAGAUCAAGUCAGCGGUAAAAUUGAGAGGCUCAACCUCUUCGAGCCGUUGAAACUGGUGUACUUGAGUGAGCGAGAGGUGUGCGGAAUGCGUGGUGUAGCGGUGAAAUGCAUAGAUAUCACGAAGAACUCCGGUUGCGAAGGCAGCAUACCGGCGCUCAACUGACGCUCAUGCACGAAAGUGUGGGUAUCGAACAGGAUUAGAUACCCUAGUAGUC
This 459-nucleotide ribosomal RNA is filed under the name uncultured bacterium. Its description in RNAcentral is "partial 16S ribosomal RNA". It matches the Rfam family "Bacterial small subunit ribosomal RNA", at positions 338 to 795 of the family's 1533-position model. The record is from RNAcentral.